Molecule: long non-coding RNA, 1646 nt
Organism: Rhincodon typus (whale shark)
Lineage: Eukaryota; Metazoa; Chordata; Chondrichthyes; Orectolobiformes; Rhincodontidae
Exons: 2
Source: RefSeq, a predicted model, not a curated record
GAAGAAAGGUAUGGUAGUAAACAAUAGCAAUUAAUGCAAACUGACGAUGACAGAGUAGCCGGUGAUCUAACUUUCUAGAGUCAUAGAGGAAAGAAUAAGAUUUGGAACAGUCGGCAGUAGUUGGAUUUCACUUGUGGUCUCCCUCCUAGGUGUUGUGACAUUAUUAUCUGAUUAUGAUGUAUGUAAAGAAGGUGCCUCGCUGACUCCUGAACAAGCACGUCUUCUGAAACUGCUUGGUGUUGAAAUGGCAACCUUCAAAGUGACAAUAAACUGCAUGUGGAACUCUGAGAAUGGUGAAUUUGAGCAACUGACAACUGAUGGAAGGAACAAGCAAAAGGUGGAGGAAAUGGAGGAGCAGGAGUGACUGAGUGCAAGUUGAAGAGCUCAGCCUGUGUACUUCAAAAGUGUCAAUCUUCAAUGACUAACGAACAAUUUCACAGUCAUUUGGGAGAACAACUGUUGCAAAUGUGGACAUUGAAUUUAGUGAGCAUUUUUAAUAAAGUUUAGAACUUCAACAGAUUUAUUGGCUGGGUCUCACCUAGUGGUGCAAGAGGUGUGCAGUAUUGCAGUUUUUUGGUAUGUACUGACCUUUGAGGAACCUGUUAACAUGACCAUCCUAACAUUACAGAUAAAACCACCCUAUUUAUAGGUCCUUUCCAAGCUCUUAACAGCAAAUGAAUGUGUUUGUCUUUGAAAUGUCACUUUUGUGACUAUUGGGGAAGGCAUGGUGUCACUGGACCUGUGCAGGGAAUACAGUUACAAUUGCUGUUAAACACAGCUGGACCACUUUACAGUUGACAUUGUCUUCGGCCACAGCUGCAGCACUUAGGUUACCAACCUCUCUGAAGAAUGGCAGUAAGCAAUAGUAAUUCAUGCAAACUGGUGAUAACAGUGGCCAGUGUUAUUCACAUCUUCUGUUGUUACAAAUGAAUGGUGAAAACUUGGAGCAGUAAGUGGUGCUCACUUUCAGUCUGUGUUCUGUCUGAGCUCUUCACAGCUAAUGAAUGGCUUUGAAAUGUUAAGAUUCUGGAAAGCAGUGGUGUAGCAAAAAAGGUAUUGUUCAGAACCCCAGGCAAAUGUUCUAGACACUGGUUCUGAUUCCUAUCAGUACUGUUGGUGACACUUGAACUCAAGCUGGCCUAAUGGUGACCAUGUAACCAUUACUGAUUGAUGUAAAAAGAGUGUCUAGAGAGACCGUGUUUAUUGGUCUGGCUAACUUUAGACCCACAAUUUGGCUUCCUGUUAACUUUCUAUGGGCAUUUAGAGGUGGUGAUAAAUGCUGGUCUAGCAUCGAUAAAUGCAUCGUCUGCAUCCCAUAAAUGCAGUUUUGUUUUUAGUAAUGAGGGAGUCAAUUUAGGAGUCACAAGAUGCUAAUAGCAGUUAUGAGCUAAAUGGCUCAUGAGUUUUUUCAGAGUGAAGGGUGGGGGGGAGGGUUUGCUGAAGGAUUGAUAUGAGCCAAAACAUCUUACUCUUGUAAAACAAAAUGCUAAAGGCCUUUUCUAUCCAUCCACAAGAUUCUGGUUUGAGAGAUGGUGGUCUCAUGGUAAUGUAACAAGAUUUGUAGAGAGAAUGCAAGGGAAUACAAACCCUAUUGUGAGAAUUCAAGUUUAAUGAUUAAAUUGAAUAAAAUGUUAAUCUUAAAGCCA